UCGUCCCCUCUUUUUCUGACUGAAGCUUGGCUAUUUAUAAUGCUCUUGUUGUGACCUAAUGGGCUCAGAAUGAAGCCCAAAAAUUCUGAUGUUCGCAAGCUUCGCUAGGCGAGCGUGUAGCGAAGGUUCGCUAGGCGAGCGUGUAGCGAAGGUUCGCUAGGCGAAGGAAUUGCUCGCCUAGCGAGCAGGCCAGUUUGGGCCAUUUUCUGGAUUGGGCCUGUUGUGAGCUGGGCUUUUGUUCCUUUAAGGUCAGUGUCUUG
RNAcentral lists this long non-coding RNA (260 nucleotides) under Lathyrus oleraceus (garden pea). RNAcentral's name for it is "Pisum sativum (pea) long non-coding RNA (PSAT_LNC031864)". Lineage: Eukaryota; Viridiplantae; Streptophyta; Magnoliopsida; Fabales; Fabaceae. The record is from RNAcentral.